GGAUGUGAGGGCGAUCUGGCUGCGAUAUGUGAUACCCCAUUGAUCCCCAGGGUUGAUUCGGCUGAUCUGGCUGGCUAGGCGGGUGUCCCCCUGGCUAGGCGGGUGUCCCCCUGGCUAGGUGGGUGUCCCCCUCCUCCCUCACCGAUCCAUGUGCAUCCCUCCCGAAGCUGCGCACUUGGUCGGAGAGGGCGGUCUUCAGUCAAGGGUAUACGAGUAGCUGUGCUCCCCUGCUAGAAUCUCCAAACAAGCUCUCAAAUCUCAGUGCCAGCCCUUUACUAACUGUACAACAUCAGGUGAGAUAUGAGCCCCAAUUUUGUCUGU
RNAcentral lists this small nuclear RNA (321 nucleotides) under Myotis lucifugus (little brown bat). RNAcentral's name for it is "7SK RNA". It matches the Rfam family "7SK RNA". From Rfam's summary of the family: 7SK was discovered as an abundant small nuclear RNA in the mid-70s but a possible function has only recently been suggested. Two independent studies have found that 7SK RNA binds the CDK9/cyclin T complex (known as elongation factor P-TEFb). Lineage: Eukaryota; Metazoa; Chordata; Mammalia; Chiroptera; Vespertilionidae. The record is from Rfam by way of RNAcentral.